AUGCAGUCGAGCGAACAGAUAGGAGCUUGCUCCUUUGACGUUAGCGGCGGACGGGUGAGUAACACGUGGAUAACCUACCUAUAAGACUGGGAUAACUUCGGGAAACCGGAGCUAAUACCGGAUAAGAUUUUGAACCGCAUGGUUCAAUAGUGAAAGACGGCCUUGCUGUCACUUAUAGAUGGAUCCGCGCCGUAUUAGCUAGUUGGUAGGGUAACGGCUUACCAAGGCAACGAUACGUAGCCGACCUGAAAGGGUGAUCGGCCACACUGGAACUGAGACACGGUCCAGACUCCUACGGGAGGCAGCAGUAGGGAAUCUUCCGCAAUGGGCGAAAGCCUGACGGAGCAACGCCGCGUGAGUGAUGAAGGUCUUCGGAUCGUAAAACUCUGUUAUCAGGGAAGAACAAACGUGUAAGUAACUGUGCACGUCUUGACGGUACCUGAUCAGAAAGCCACGGCUAACUACGUGCCAGCAGCCGCGGUAAUACGUAGGUGGCAAGCGUUAUCCGGAAUUAUUGGGCGUAAAGCGCGCGUAGGCGGUUUUUUAAGUCUGAUGUGAAAGCCCACGGCUCAACCGUGGAGGGUCAUUGGAAACUGGAAAACUUGAGUGCAGAAGAGGAAAGUGGAAUUCCAUGUGUAGCGGUGAAAUGCGCAGAGAUAUGGAGGAACACCAGUGGCGAAGGCGACUUUCUGGUCUGUAACUGACGCUGAUGUGCGAAAGCGUGGGGAUCAAACAGGAUUAGAUACCCUGGUAGUCCACGCCGUAAACGAUGAGUGCUAAGUGUUAGGGGGUUUCCGCCCCUUAGUGCUGCAGCUAACGCAUUAAGCACUCCGCCUGGGGAGUACGACCGCAAGGUUGAAACUCAAAGGAAUUGACGGGGACCCGCACAAGCGGUGGAGCAUGUGGUUUAAUUUGAAGCAACGCGAAGAACCUUACCAAAUCUUGACAUCCUUUGACCGCUCUAGAGAUAGAGUUUUCCCCUUCGGGGGACAAAGUGACAGGUGGUGCAUGGUUGUCGUCAGCUCGUGUCGUGAGAUGUUGGGUUAAGUCCCGCAACGAGCGCAACCCUUAAGCUUAGUUGCCAUCAUUAAGUUGGGCACUCUAA
Molecule: ribosomal RNA, 1105 nt
Filed under: Staphylococcus sp.
Lineage: Bacteria; Bacillati; Bacillota; Bacilli; Caryophanales; Staphylococcaceae
Description: bacterial SSU rRNA
Rfam family: Bacterial small subunit ribosomal RNA
Source: RNAcentral